GGUCCUAUCAGUCUCCCAUGGUGAUGCGGGGGGCCAUAACUGUUGAAUGGGGAUGCAAACUGCAAUUUUAUUGAUGUCAUCGGGGACGCUGGGCCUGCGCCAUUCGACGAAACUUGCCCCCGCGUCACCAUAUCAAACACUAAAAGACAAAAAUAUUCUGUGGGGGGGCCGUCCGCGCUUUUGCCCGUCACUUAAAGUGGAGCCCAUAUAGAGUCCUCAUCUCAUGAGCACACACACACACACAGCUUGCGUAUAUGUGGGCGUGUGCGCUCUCUCUCGCUUCUCCCGGUAUACACUCGAAAAUGCAAAUCGCCUGUUUAAUGAAUCAACAGGCAAGAAUGAAACGAUGAGAGCCGAGGCUUACUGCAUUAUUCCAUCUACUAUAUUCGUGUAUUCAUCAUUCUCUCUCCAUUUUUUUCUUUUCUUUCAUUCUUUCUUUUUUUGGUCUUCGUUAAAAAAUUCCCCCGUCGUUUGCCGAGUAUGACACACAUCACUGUGCUGCCCUAUCAGCUCCGCCUAUCUUUUUAUUCCUCUACUGCUGCUGCGUCUUUAUAUUCGGUGUGUGGCAUAUUGCACGGCCGAGAGAUGAGAGGCGGGUGGGGCCGCGCCAUCACACUUUUAUUUGUCUUCCCUUUCCUUUCUAUAUGCAAAACGCAGUUAAAGAUUGAUGGAAAUGGAAGUAAAAGUUCAUGCGCGCGGCUCGGCUGCCGCUGAUGCUGCCCGCGGAGACUAUGUGCUGCGCGUUUCCCACUUCUGUAUUAGAUUCAUCUGUGCGGCGGGGAUAUUUAAAACGAGUUGGAAGAGAGAUUAUUAUUCACCUCCGAUUUCUAUCCGUCUUUCGUCAGUCUAUAAACAUGUCCGUCCGAUGAGGGUCUUCCCUCUUUUCAUCUUGUAUACAGCUUUACUAGCUUAUACCUAUAUACUGCGUUAAAUCAGCUGACGUUCAUCUCUUUAUACAACAACGCUGCUGUGUCCGCCUGUGUAUAUCUUCUAUACAUAUAGUAGUUAGAGCUGUCAGCCCGGCGGUGCUGAUGGCCAGUUUGGACACAGAAUAAUGCAUGUACAUGGGUUUUCUAUCAAGUGACUUUUUGGUUUCGAUUACGGCUGUAUAGCGCACCGCAUGUCUACGUAAGGCCGCAUCUUGACGUUAUAUAAGGCAGCAGACUGCCUGUAAUGUACGACUUCUCUUCUAUAUAUACGAUCGUUCAAAAUAAUAAAUCAACCAACUCGAAACGACGACGAUCCAUACUGACCGUCUAGACAUUUAUCGAUUUUAUCAACGAGUUGGGUUUUUUUUAUUCUAUUCUUUUAAUAUAUAUUUCAUCCGGCAUUCCUUUGCUGUUGUUUUUUGGUCGUUAAAACAAGAAGAAAGAAUUGUUUUGCAAUAUUUUUCCCCAUUUUUCUUUUUAAUCCCCCACCCCAGACUCCGCCUUUUUAAAACAUUGUGUUUUAUUAAUAAAUGUUCGUGUGCAUUGACUAUCAAGACUUUUGUUGGCGUGAUGUCGGGCAAUUACCCACGACGUUUAUUUUUGAAAAAAUCCAUUUGGUUUUUCAUGGGAUUUUGUCUUUUUUUUGUUGUUGUUUUCUUCUUUUCUUUUUCCUUCGUCGUCUAGCCGCAAUGAGGAAAGAGCAUCUAUUCACUCACCCAACUCGGUCCCCUUCCGAAAUUGUUUCUUUUUUACUUUACGGCGUUGCUGUGUGUGUUUUUCUCUCUCCCAAGCCCCAGCCCUUAACCGAGUUUGAAACGACAAUUUACACAGACCGGGGGUGUCGAGAUAAUUUAUCGAUUUCUUGCCUAUGCAACCGCACCGAAAAGCGUUGCCAGACCCUCUUACCCUACACGCCCAAAAGAUCAAUAAAUUAAAAAGCCGUUUCGAAUUGGACAAGAUCAAAUUGCAAUGCUGACAGCAACAAAAUGAAUGUUCCGCCGACAACACGUACACACGUACAGUAGUAGCACAUAUAGUCGUAGUUCUUUUUUUUUCUUUCGUCGGGAUGUUUCGUGUAAGGUGUUGGUUCUCAUCGUUUGCUUGUGGUGUCAGUUUGCUUAUAUUUUCAAUUUGUCCGUCGAGUUAACCAAAAAAUUAAAAAAAAAAAAAACCUGCGGAUGAAGAAAAAAAGAAAAUAACAAUUUUGGCGUCACGCGAGACCCUUCCCCGCAGGUGACGAAGAUAAAACUGUUGCCUGGAAGAAGAAGAAAAAAAAAAACACGGAAAAUAGAAUCGCGUUUUGUUGUUGCCUACUUUAUACAAAUCGUUUCGUAUAUUAAGUAUUUGGUUUCGAUUCAAUUGAGGGAAACAUCGCGCCGUGCGAUUUCAUUCGGCCAUCUGCGAUCAAACGGACGUUGUCGCAACUUGUCUGUCGCAUUUCUCCCAUUUUUCUCACGCCCGUCAUUGGACCGGCAAACUGAAAACGUUCAGGCGCGGAUAGUUUCACUGAUCAAUCAUUAAAGAUUCCUCGGGACAAGGUGAGCGAAUCGGUCCGUAGCUCACGUUCGGUAUUCCCGGAGACAAUGUUCAUCGAUCUAUAAAAAAAGAAAAUGAUUAAUAUGAUCGAGUCCAUCCCGAAUCUUUUUGGCCUUUCUUCUUUUGUUAAAUGUUUUCUUAUUGUUGGUCAUCACACGGUCGUAGUCGUCGUCGCAGUUUAUUACGCCAUAUUAACAGAGACACAGCGACGGCGUCGAAGAAAGUCAAGCACCGCCUGCGCGGCUCGUGAUGAUUUUUCAGAGCGUUGGCCGCCCGCUCUCCUUCACAGCUCGAGGAGCUAGCCUUUAAAAUGAUUAUAUGGCCUCGCCAUCAUCACGAGGCCGCCAAACAUUUUUCGAAUGCUGUUGCCAUUUCCAUGACUAUCAAGUUUUGACGCGAAGUUUUUUAUUCCAGCGCUAUUGUAUUUUGUAUGGCUGUAGCGCUGGGAAAUUCCCGUUUAUUCUUGUUUUCAAGUAACGAACCACGCCCAAAUUGUUAUGGUAAUAAUAAAAAAAAAAAAAAGAGAAAAAAAGGCGCAAUAAACAACAAGAACAGGAUCUCCGUAUGGAUUGGUUUCCGACUUUCGUAAAAGAUACUGCGCGGGGGAUUUCCCGCGAUAUUUCAAAAAGCAAUCUAACCAGAUUUUUUUGUUUUUGUGUUUUUUUGAAAGGGGAAAAAUGCCGAGAGAAAAAGCUCAAGUGAGGAAAAUAACAGGAUAUGCUAAGUGGUUGUCAAUGCUUCCUGCGGGUUUGUUGUUCUGCUGUCCCCGUUUGUUCGAACCGUGUCGAAACAUUUCCUAUUUUCAAGAUUAGAGAGAAAGGGAGUAUGUACGUAUAUUAUACUAUUGGUAUAGGAGGUGAAACGCGUUUGUCGAUGAUUCCCAGACAUUAGGAAUGUUAUGCAGACAGUGAUCGAAAAAAAAACUAUACACCCGAAACAAAACAAAACAAAAUAAUAAUAAAAAAAAAAUCACUGUCUGGCUGUUACGCUCCAAUGGGUGUGAUGGUCAUAUUUCAUCUUUUGUUUGACAUGCAGAGCUCACGAAUUGUUUGCCCUCUGUCAGUCGCAAUACAUCUUCAAUUUCCACAAUGGACGGAUCUAGUUUGAAGAGGCCAAGUUCUUUUUUUUUCUCAUUCCGUUCAAGUAUGCUGCUGCUGUAUUUCUGGGCCUCAGCAGCAGAGCAUUCACUGCUGAUCGGACGCGGAGAAAAAUAAAAGCCCCAAACACAAUUCACCCGGGAAGGGCAAGUUGGGCAAUGUGAGAUGUACAAGUACGAGCAAUACUAUAUAUAUAUAUUAUACAGUGGGGAAAUAAAUCAACAGCCGUUUUUUUUUCUGUAGUGUGUGAUAUACGGCAGGGCUGCCGCCUCUUGUUCCUAUAUAUAAUAUUACGUGUCUGUAAUGCGUUUUUUUUUUCUUUUUUCUCGUUGUAAUCCUCUUUUCGAUGGCCAUCAUCGCCCCGUAAUGGCGGCAGCUGAUGCACCGAUGUCGGAGAUAUAGAAAGGGCGCAGUAAAACGAUUGAUCAUCCACUUGAAAAUGCGGUACACACACACAAAAGGAGAAUAAAUAUGUAUAGAGGGCGACAGAGGCCAGAAGCAGCCAAUUGCAAUUAGAACAACAACUACUACACCAUUAUAUUAUGUAUGGAAAACUAUACAGAAGGAAAAUCGAACAAAAGAGAGAAAAUAAGAAAGAAACAAAAAAAUUGGAGAAUACAAAAAAGAGAAUAAAAACAAGUCGGAAAGUAUAUAACUACUAUAUAUAGACGAGUACAUGUAUGCAGCCGACGCGCGGGAUCUGAUUUCAGCUGGGGGAUGUCAAUGUCAACCACAAGGGAAUGAAUUGCCGACCCGACUGCUGUGACUAUGGCCUCUCUUCUUUCGCCCCGUAUUAUAAUAAUGGACAAAUUGUAGACGAGAUUGUGUAGCUUUACUUAUUCAGUCCGUCAAUCGAGACGGCCGCUAGUUCCCAGACCGACGCUCAUGCUGCUGGGCAGCCACGCUUCAUUGGCCCGUCUCUCAAUCCAGAGAUGUAUAUAGCGUAGCCUACAUAUAGCCCACACAACGCCAACACAGCACGAUCGUUCCCGUUAGGAAUGAAAAAAAUGAAAAAAAAAAUAAUAAUAAUAAUAAUAGUAAAAGCACGCAUAGGUUGUACACAUUAAAAUGUGUUGCUUUUACAAAACGGGGACAACAUUUCCAGCAGCCAGUAACAAAAAGCAGCAGCAGUUGUGCCCUGUGUAGUGCGCGCAGCCAGACGAGACGUUAGACAACAGCAGCGACGGCUACAAUUCCAUGUGGAUUGACUCGGAUGAUGGAUGGGCACCCGCUCGAGGGAGCCAGCCUAUGGGGCAUCUUUUCUCCUUGCAAUGGGGUUUUGAUAAUCACGAGAGAGCGCGCGCAUUUUCGACGAAGGGAAUCGAUUACGACCAGUAAACGAACGCUCCCCUCAAAAUAAAACGACGAUGAUGGAAAGAAAAGAACAACAGCAAAAUAUGGAAAAGAGAUAGCUAGAUGAAGAUUGUACAAUAAAGUGCAGCGAUGGGAAAGAUACCAUCGCUGAUGUACCUUGAUGCGGAACAUGCGUGAAGAGGGAAUAUAUAGCUAAAGAUGAGAUAAUAGCGGGUCCAACUAGUGUACAUAUCGUCGCAGGCAGCAGCAGCAGCUGGAGAGUUAUAGGACCGCGCUGAUGGCGGGCAAGUGGACGGACCAGCACCAGGUGUUGGAAACUGAAUUUUGAUUUCGAGACCAUCAAGUUCCGUCCCGUCGAUUUCGCCUUGUCCGAUGCGUAUCGGUUCACUGUGACAACUCCGUCGCCGAAUAUACGACUCAUGAAUUUCUCAUUAUUCAGAUUAAGGUCGUCGAUUCUGACGGUUGAAAGGUCACUAGUCCAACUUAUUAUACCCCGAGUGAUGUAAUCUUCUAUUCUCAAAUGAAAAACAAAAACAUCUUUUUUCCCUUUCUAUCGAUUCUAACCCAAUCGCAACUUGAUCGAACUCGUCGUGCGUAUGUGGUGGGUCCCGAUUUCAAGAUUGUCGACAUAUUGUUUCCAACCCCUCGUUUUUCUCCGAACCUUUUUCCUUUUUUUUUUCUUUUCUUGUUACUGUUGUUCUGGUAUUUGCUUUGUCUUCCGUUGAAGUUUAAUUGUCUCUUUUUCCAUUAAUCGCUCGGCGUUGUUUUACAUACAAGUCCUCCUCUUUUAUUCUCCUUUUAAUGUGAAAGGCCCCAUGGUAGGCUGUGCUGAUGGUAGAACUGCUGCGACGGUGAACGCGCUCCAAUUCUCCGUGUUGUGUCGUUGUUGACAUUUAUACCGUUAUUGUCCUUUGGAAGAGAUAGUAAAAAAGCAGCUCACACACA
This is a long non-coding RNA of Daphnia pulex (common water flea), 5821 nucleotides long. RefSeq lists it as uncharacterized. The record is from RefSeq and is a predicted model, not a curated record. The transcript has 2 exons. NCBI's taxonomy places the organism in Eukaryota, Metazoa, Arthropoda, Branchiopoda, Diplostraca, Daphniidae.